CAUGGAUGUUAUUGAUCAGAAAGUUCUGAAAGGAAAGCUUGAAACAAUGAAUGAAAUGAAGUUAUUUCGUGAUCGAUUGGGAAGUUUUGGAAGAGAACUUGCUUAUUCUUCACGUGAAGUACUUCAACCUAAUGAAUGGUGGAGGCUACAUGGAUACAAUGCACCACAUUUGCAAAAGUUAGUCAUUCUAAUAUUGAGCCAAACCGCAUCGUCUUCUGGAUGUGAAAGGAAUUAGAGUGUCUUUGAACGUAUACAUACCAAAAGAAGGAAUAGAUUGGAACAUCAAAGGCUUAAUGAUCUUGUAUACGUUCAUUAUAAUUUGCGCCUAAAAAAUUGGUUCUAUAACAAGAAAAGAAUCUAUGAUCCAAUUGACUAUGCAUGCAUUGAUGAGACCGAUUUUUGGGUAGUUGAUGAUGAUCAACCAGCAGAGUUAGAUGUUGAAGAAUUGGAAAAUCUUCUAUAUGAAGAAGGGUCAAUUCCAAUAAAUGAAGUGGAAGGUUCAAGUUCUCACAUUGAUGAUGAGGAUGGUGGUGACGUGGCUAUAGAAGGGCUUGAUGUGGAGAACUUUGGUUUUCCAAAUGCUCAUGUUCAAUCUCCAU
Long non-coding RNA from Vitis vinifera (wine grape), 599 nucleotides. RefSeq lists it as uncharacterized. NCBI's taxonomy places the organism in Eukaryota, Viridiplantae, Streptophyta, Magnoliopsida, Vitales, Vitaceae. The transcript has 4 exons. The record is from RefSeq and is a predicted model, not a curated record.